Molecule: small nuclear RNA, 104 nt
Organism: Perognathus longimembris pacificus (Pacific pocket mouse)
Lineage: Eukaryota; Metazoa; Chordata; Mammalia; Rodentia; Heteromyidae
Source: RefSeq, a predicted model, not a curated record
GCUCUCCUUUUGCCAGCACAUAUCCUAACAUUGGAACGACACAGAGAUUAGAAAAGCCCCUGCACCAGGAAAAAGCAAAUACAAAAGGGCUGUGGCCUUGUUUA